Marmota monax (woodchuck) is the source of this 2153-nucleotide long non-coding RNA. RefSeq lists it as uncharacterized. The record is from RefSeq and is a predicted model, not a curated record. NCBI's taxonomy places the organism in Eukaryota, Metazoa, Chordata, Mammalia, Rodentia, Sciuridae. The transcript has 3 exons.
UCUGGCUGGGAUGAGAAUUACCAUCAUGGACCAAGAUGUUGAAGUGAAGACCACUUUUCCCUCCUGCAGAUGACUGUUUAAUUUAGCAAGUGUUUUACGAAAUACCUAAUUAUCAAAGCAAUGAACAGCUAUUUUAGAGAAGUUGGAAAACAUAGGAAAGCACAUUAAAAGAUGAAAAGUAUAUCUACCACCCUGUUCUUCAGAGCCCUAGCCACAGCUCUUCCCAAUAAAUCAGACUUUGUGGAGAAAAGAAAAUUGGAAGAAGGCACCCUAUCAUCCCAAAUCUGGCAUUUCACAUGUGCCACUUCCAGAGCAGCUGAAGUGACAACAGAAUGCUUGAAAGAACAGAAUUUGGAUCCCCAGAUGUUAAUACCACCUCCACCAUGAGCCUGGAUCAUGUGUCUGCAGACAAUCGCGGAACCUCUGGGCCUUUUAGAUGUAAUGAAGUCUUACAGAUGCCACCUGCAGCCUGGUUACUUAUGUAAUCUGGUGUUUUGGGAUAAUUUGUGAUGUGUUUCCAAACAAUUUUUAUCAAUGGAGGUAAAGGUACUGAUUCCAAAGCUGCUCCCAGGAUGACGGCCCUCACCGAGCCUGUGUUAUUUGUUGGUGAGGAGUGGUAGACUGCACAUGAUUGGAGCAGAAGAACUGAACAUGUGACCUGGCACCGCUGGGCACUUUUUAUGAGAACUUAAAAACUCAUACAAGCCCCUGGGCACACUUUUCUCAUUUGUCGUGUGUGGAUUUUGGUACUGGUUUUGAAGAGGAGCAGGGAGAGGAGGAGUUGAUAUUCUGUGGGUGUACAGUGGCGGUUAUGCAAGGUGCCUGAGUCUUAGAAAUCUGUAGAGCAGCAUUGUGCCUGGUGUUAACACAGCCUCAGACACUGAGUAUUCACUGGCAUGGGAGAGCUCAGGUUAAAUACUCUCAUACAAUAAAAUUCUAAAAAGUACUACAUUGAGAUGUGAGGGUGCUUAUGAAUUAUAAACACUUAGGCCAAGUUGGCUAUUAGAAUGAUACAUUGUAUGUAUUGUUGAAAAUGGGAAAAAUAACUUGAUUGAGACAUUUCAUCUUUUCUUUUGGAGUCAUUGUAAAUGUUAUUUUAAUUUCCAUUGAUAAAGUUAGCUUAAGGAUUUUAUAGGAUCUCACUCCAAGUCUUGAGAAUUAGCUUAAUUAUUGGGAUAAGGGUAUCAAUCAAAUGUUAGUAUUUUAAACUUAAAUGUGCUUCGUUAAUCUCUUAUAUAAGUACAUUUUCACCUUAAUGGGAUAAAGGUAGUUUUGACUUUAGAAUUUUGCUGCAGAAUGAGUCAAUUAAGUUUUUUUUUUUUUAUUUAGUAUGUACAAUAUCUUAGAAUACAUAAGUUGAUGAUGAACUUUUUAAUACAGGCAUCGAACAGUGGCUGGGAAAAUGUAGUAACUCAUAUUUGACCUCCUAUUUGGAGAGAACAUGGAGAGAGUUGGUUUGUCAAGGAGGCUCAGGGGCUUCUUGUUCACAAAUUCCUAAGGAAAUUUACUUUGUGCUGGGUCAUGAAGCUGUUCCUGGACCAAAUAUCAGGGUAGAAUUAAGUAUUUUUCUGAUAAUGCAUUACCUUCUGUUAUGCACUUGAAAGUCAUUAAAAUUAAUUAAUAUUGCAAUGCUAUUCAUUACAGAAGCUUAAGCUCUUAUGAUAGCAUUUUAUUAAGAUGGAUAUUUUAUGCUUUUACAUUUUUUGCUGUAAUAUUAUAUCAUACUCAAAAUUAGCUUUCAUCAAUCCUCAACUUUGUCAUGCCUUCAUGAAAAAGUAAAAUUUGAUUACAUUUUCUAGAGAUGAAGCUGAAUUUUGUUAAAUGACAAUGAACCUUUUUGGCAAUGUUUUUAAUUACUUUUGAGUUAACUCAGAAAUUUGUUUUAAGUACAUCUGUGCUAUUUUAUUAGAGUUUUUUCCCUCUCAGCAUGAGCAUGCUUGUAUUUAAUUUUAAAUGUGUAUUUACUUAUAGCUCUGGGAUAUGAAUAAUUAGAUUGAAUUUACAGGGUUCACUUAGUGCUGCAAAAAGAAGUGGGGGUAACACAUUAAGUAUGUACAGAAAACUCAUUUCCAACAUUCUCCAAUGUAAUUAACAACAAAAAUUCAUACUCCUACAGUGUGAGAACCAUAUGAUGUAAUUGAUCCUACACAGAA